Molecule: long non-coding RNA, 560 nt
Organism: Micropterus salmoides (largemouth bass)
Lineage: Eukaryota; Metazoa; Chordata; Actinopteri; Centrarchiformes; Centrarchidae
Exons: 3
Source: RefSeq, a predicted model, not a curated record
GCAUUACCAUUGGGCUCAUGUUAGUCAGGUUUUAAUUAAACAAGUCUGAAAGAAGUGUGAAUCUACAUGUGGACAUGUUUCAUUGCUACUGUUUUGGUGAAUUUACUUCAGUCACCUCCCAUGGGUGCAUUUUGCAUUUUGGGUGAACCAAAAACAUAAUCAAGAGUUCAAGUUCAUCAAUGCUGUCUUCAGCUGUGUCUCAUCCACUUUUGCCAGAUAUCCAACCUACUGGUCACUGUGAAGCUCCACCGUGCAGAUGUUGUUUCAGGAGAGAACCAGGCGUCGGUCACGUCAGCUCCGUGACAUCGAAGUGACCGUGACACCGCAGCAAACCAGCAGUGACGGAUGCCUUUUUGUCUUCUGCAGUCAGGCCGGAUCGCCUGACCCACGGACGACUAUAAUUGUACCGACAGGUGACACAUCUGUGGAAACCAGAAGAUGAUGGCGGAGACUACAUAGAUCAUGUGACCUGCGCCUCACAUGCCUCCUCCAAGUAUUGUAAGUGUCUGAAGAGCUUCACUGUUACAGUGGAUGAAAUUACAAAACCAAAAUGGUGUCCU